This 1139-nucleotide ribosomal RNA is filed under the name Parmelina sp. PN-2010. Its description in RNAcentral is "eukaryotic LSU rRNA". The stretch from base 513 to 666 matches the Rfam family "5.8S ribosomal RNA". The record is from RNAcentral. Lineage: Eukaryota; Fungi; Ascomycota; Lecanoromycetes; Lecanorales; Parmeliaceae.
UCCCGGGAAACAACUUUCUCUGUGCCAUUUGAGGAAGGUAAAGUUGGUAACACAGGGUACCGUAAGGGGACCUGCGGGUUGGUCACUUAAAAUUAUUUGGUCCCGGGAGCAAGGUUCCUUGCUUUUUUCAAAUGUGGGGCCCUCUCGUGUCUCUGGCCCAUAGCGGAAGUAAAAUUUCGUACCACGUUUUCCUAUUCUUAAUUCUUUUCGCAAGGAUUCUUAAUGGAUAAACUUCGGGAUUGGCAAACUCGGCUUUUCUUGGCGGGGCCACAAGGAAGUAAAAGUCGUAACAAGGUUUCCGUAGGUGACCUGCGGAGGAUCAUUACCGAGAGAGGGGCUCCGCGCUCCCGAGGGCUUCGGUCCUCGACUCUUUACCCGAUGGCUAUCUACCUUUGUUGCUUUGGCGGAUCUUGGGGCUUCCCCGCGCCGACUUCCGGGUCAGCGAGUGUCCGCCAAAGGAUCAUCAAUAUUCGUUUUAAUCCUGACGUCUGAGUACAAAAAACAAUAAUAAAAACUUUCAACAACGGAUCUCUUGGUUCCAGCAUCGAUGAAGAACGCAGCGAAAUGCGAUAAGUAAUGUGAAUUGCAGAAUUCAGUGAAUCAUCGAAUCUUUGAACGCACAUUGCGCCCCUCGGUAUUCCGGGGGGCAUGCCUGUUCGAGCGUCAUUAUACCCCUCAAGCGUAGCUUGGUAUUGGGUUCUCGCCCCUGCGGCGUGCCCGAAAAGCAGUGGCGGUCCGGUGCGACUUCAAGCGUAGUAAAUUUGAUCCCGCUUCGAAAGAUCGCUUCGUGGCUGGCCAGAUAACCCCACCGCUUCUUUAAUUGACCUCGGAUCAGGUAGGGAUACCCGCUGACCUUAAGCAUAUCAUAAGGGGGGAAGAGAAACUACUACUUUCGGGGGGGUUAUUCGGACAGCGUAUGAUGACUCUUUGAAGCUUCAAAACAGGUAGGCUGCCACGGAAAAAUUAAUCCUAUCAGUAGGCCGGAGGAAUGAUACUCCUAAUGAAAUAUCCUUCAAAUCCAUUAAGAAUGGAUAAGCCUUUGGCCAAUAAAUCCUUCAACUGGUCCUGAAAUCCAGCAAGAAAAACCCCGCUGAACCUAAGCUUAUCAAUAAGGCGGAGAGAAGCCGUAUAUGAUUCCA